RNAcentral lists this transfer RNA (94 nucleotides) under Trinickia caryophylli. RNAcentral's name for it is "tRNA-Arg". Lineage: Bacteria; Pseudomonadati; Pseudomonadota; Betaproteobacteria; Burkholderiales; Burkholderiaceae. The record is from RNAcentral.
GGCGGCGUUAGGCUGCGGUGGCAGCCGGCGGUGCCGCGCCGCCCGAAUCGGCCUCAUGGCCGAGAUCGACCGAUUCGAGGUAGGUCGGCACUUC